CUUCCUUUAUCAUGUGCUUUCACAGUGCUGCACACCUUGGGUACUUCUGAGGAAAGAACCUUCCUUCAUGAGAUAAGCUGAGGUGUUGCCCUUCCCUUCCCCUCUCCUAGAGAGGCGGGUGGGGAGAUAAAGGCCCAGCCUCAUUAAAGAUACUGCCAUACUCUGGGUUUUGCAACAUCUUGCGUUUCCAGGCUUCCGAAGCACAAAGUAUUAAAAGCUGGGGGGAAGUAAACCAAAUGUUGACUGUUCCCAAAUCCCCUGCAGCAGCAGCACCCAGAGCGUGCGCAGAGCAGCACCGGCGGGUGGACCCUAGCUCACCUCCUUCAUUCCUCCAAGGCUGGAGGCAGGGCCUUCCCAGUCCUCAACCUGCCCGUCCCAGGCCUGCCUGCAGGGUGAAGGAGGCCCUGGGUCCCACAGUGUGAUGCGGACUGCUAGCUA
RNAcentral lists this long non-coding RNA (438 nucleotides) under Androctonus crassicauda. The record is from RNAcentral. Lineage: Eukaryota; Metazoa; Arthropoda; Arachnida; Scorpiones; Buthidae.